RNAcentral lists this ribosomal RNA (305 nucleotides) under uncultured bacterium. RNAcentral's name for it is "bacterial SSU rRNA". It matches the Rfam family "Bacterial small subunit ribosomal RNA", at positions 35 to 322 of the family's 1533-position model. The record is from RNAcentral.
GCUGGCGGCGUGCCUAACACAUGCAAGUCGAACGAGAAAGCGGGCUUCGGCCCGUCAGUAAAGUGGCAGACGGGUGAGUAACACGUGGGUAACCUGCCCCGAGGUGGGGGAUAACCCUUCGAAAGGAGGGCUAAUACCGCAUAACAUCUCGAGAUCCUCGGCUCUCGAGAUCAAAGCUAGCCUCUACUUGUAAGCUAGCGCCGUGGGAGGGGCUCGCGGCCCAUUAGCUUGUUGGUGAGGUAACGGCUCACCAAGGCUACGAUGGGUAGCCGGCCUGAGAGGGUGAUCGGCCACACUGGAACUGA